RNAcentral lists this ribosomal RNA (2841 nucleotides) under Salmonella enterica subsp. enterica serovar Enteritidis. RNAcentral describes it as "bacterial LSU rRNA". It matches the Rfam family "Bacterial large subunit ribosomal RNA". Lineage: Bacteria; Pseudomonadati; Pseudomonadota; Gammaproteobacteria; Enterobacterales; Enterobacteriaceae. The record is from RNAcentral.
GGGUUGUGAGGUUAAGCGACUAAGCGUACACGGUGGAUGCCCUGGCAGUCAGAGGCGAUGAAGGGCGUGCUAAUCUGCGAUAAGCGCCGGUAAGGUGAUAUGAACCGUUAUAACCGGCGAUACCCGAAUGGGGAAACCCAGUGUGAUUCGUCACACUAUCAUUAACUGAAUCCAUAGGUUAAUGAGGCGAACCGGGGGAACUGAAACAUCUAAGUACCCCGAGGAAAAGAAAUCAACCGAGAUUCCCCCAGUAGCGGCGAGCGAACGGGGAGGAGCCCAGAGCCUGAAUCAGCAUGUGUGUUAGUGGAAGCGUCUGGAAAGGCGCGCGAUACAGGGUGACAGCCCCGUACACAAAAGCGCAUGUGCUGUGAGCUCGAUGAGUAGGGCGGGACACGUGGUAUCCUGUCUGAAUAUGGGGGGACCAUCCUCCAAGGCUAAAUACUCCUGACUGACCGAUAGUGAACCAGUACCGUGAGGGAAAGGCGAAAAGAACCCCGGCGAGGGGAGUGAAAAAGAACCUGAAACCGUGUACGUACAAGCAGUGGGAGNNNNNNNNNNNNNNNNNNNNNNGGGCGUUAAGUUGCAGGGUAUAGACCCGAAACCCGGUGAUCUAGCCAUGGGCAGGUUGAAGGUUGGGUAACACUAACUGGAGGACCGAACCGACUAAUGUUGAAAAAUUAGCGGAUGACCUGUGGCUGGGGGUGAAAGGCCAAUCAAACCGGGAGAUAGCUGGUUCUCCCCGAAAGCUAUUUAGGUAGCGCCUCGUGAAUUCAUCUCCGGGGGUAGAGCACUGUUUCGGCUAGGGGGCCAUCCCGGCUUACCAACCCGAUGCAAACUGCGAAUACCGGAGAAUGUUAUCACGGGAGACACACGGCGGGUGCUAACGUCCGUCGUGAAGAGGGAAACAACCCAGACCGCCAGCUAAGGUCCCAAAGUCAUGGUUAAGUGGGAAACGAUGUGGGAAGGCCCAGACAGCCAGGAUGUUGGCUUAGAAGCAGCCAUCAUUUAAAGAAAGCGUAAUAGCUCACUGGUCGAGUCGGCCUGCGCGGAAGAUGUAACGGGGCUAAACCAUGCACCGAAGCUGCGGCAGCGACACUGUGUGUUGUUGGGUAGGGGAGCGUUCUGUAAGCCUGUGAAGGUGUGUCGUGAGGCAUGCUGGAGGUAUCAGAAGUGCGAAUGCUGACAUAAGUAACGAUAAAGCGGGUGAAAAGCCCGCUCGCCGGAAGACCAAGGGUUCCUGUCCAACGUUAAUCGGGGCAGGGUGAGUCGACCCCUAAGGCGAGGCCGAAAGGCGUAGUCGAUGGGAAACGGGUUAAUAUUCCCGUACUUGGUGUUACUGCGAAGGGGGGACGGAGAAGGCUAUGUUGGCCGGGCGACGGUUGUCCCGGUUUAAGCGUGUAGGUGUGUGUUCCAGGUAAAUCCGGUUCACUUUAACACUGAGGCGUGACGACGAGGCACUACGGUGCUGAAGCAACAAAUGCCCUGCUUCCAGGAAAAGCCUCUAAGCAUCAGGUAACAUCAAAUCGUACCCCAAACCGACACAGGUGGUCAGGUAGAGAAUACCAAGGCGCUUGAGAGAACUCGGGUGAAGGAACUAGGCAAAAUGGUGCCGUAACUUCGGGAGAAGGCACGCUGACACGUAGGUGAAGUGAUUUACUCAUGGAGCUGAAGUCAGUCGAAGAUACCAGCUGGCUGCAACUGUUUAUUAAAAACACAGCACUGUGCAAACACGAAAGUGGACGUAUACGGUGUGACGCCUGCCCGGUGCCGGAAGGUUAAUUGAUGGGGUCAGCGCAAGCGAAGCUCCUGAUCGAAGCCCCGGUAAACGGCGGCCGUAACUAUAACGGUCCUAAGGUAGCGAAAUUCCUUGUCGGGUAAGUUCCGACCUGCACGAAUGGCGUAAUGAUGGCCAGGCUGUCUCCACCCGAGACUCAGUGAAAUUGAACUCGCUGUGAAGAUGCAGUGUACCCGCGGCAAGACGGAAAGACCCCGUGAACCUUUACUAUAGCUUGACACUGAACAUUGAGCCUUGAUGUGUAGGAUAGGUGGGAGGCUUUGAAGUGUGGACGCCAGUCUGCAUGGAGCCGACCUUGAAAUACCACCCUUUAAUGUUUGAUGUUCUAACGUGGACCCGUUACCCGGGUUGCGGACAGUGUCUGGUGGGUAGUUUGACUGGGGCGGUCUCCUCCUAAAGAGUAACGGAGGAGCACGAAGGUUGGCUAAUCCUGGUCGGACAUCAGGAGGUUAGUGCAAUGGCAUAAGCCAGCUUGACUGCGAGCGUGACGGCGCGAGCAGGUGCGAAAGCAGGUCAUAGUGAUCCGGUGGUUCUGAAUGGAAGGGCCAUCGCUCAACGGAUAAAAGGUACUCCGGGGAUAACAGGCUGAUACCGCCCAAGAGUUCAUAUCGACGGCGGUGUUUGGCACCUCGAUGUCGGCUCAUCACAUCCUGGGGCUGAAGUAGGUCCCAAGGGUAUGGCUGUUCGCCAUUUAAAGUGGUACGCGAGCUGGGUUUAGAACGUCGUGAGACAGUUCGGUCCCUAUCUGCCGUGGGCGCUGGAGAACUGAGGGGGGCUGCUCCUAGUACGAGAGGACCGGAGUGGACGCAUCACUGGUGUUCGGGUUGUCAUGCCAAUGGCACUGCCCGGUAGCUAAAUGCGGAAGAGAUAAGUGCUGAAAGCAUCUAAGCACGAAACUUGCCCCGAGAUGAGUUCUCCCUGAGACUUAGAGUCUCCUGAAGGAACGUUGAAGACGACGACGUUGAUAGGCCGGGUGUGUAAGCGCAGCGAUGCGUUGAGCUAACCGGUACUAAUGAACCGUGAGGCUUAACCUUACAACGCCGAAG